Molecule: RNA transcript, 5550 nt
Organism: Mus musculus (house mouse)
Lineage: Eukaryota; Metazoa; Chordata; Mammalia; Rodentia; Muridae
Gene: Ppp6r3
Gene name: protein phosphatase 6, regulatory subunit 3
Exons: 25
Source: RefSeq, marked validated
CCCCGCGGCCGUUACCCCACCGCCUGCUGUCAUUGUGUUACCCCAUUGGCUUCUUCGCAUCCGGAGCUACACAGCCGGGAUUGGUUUGGUUCAUUUGUUUUAAACUACAUUGACUAUGCGGAUUGGUGGUCCCAAGCGUCUGUCACGCGAGGCCCCGCUGUUGCUACGGGGCAGAGGGACCCAGCCUAAGCUUCUCCCAAUUUCUGACUUGUUUCUCAGACUCCGGGGUCUAGAGGUUCCGGAUCCGUCAAGACCAUGGGAAAAAGAAUGCGCCUCUCGCGUUUGACUGACAAGACCUCAAAGCCAAUCGAAGUGGAGUCGAGGGAACCGCUGGGCGGUCCAAUAGGUUGUGGGGGGCGGGAGAGACAAGCCAAUGAUCCGUGUGAAGGGGCGGGGUCUAUCCUGUGAUUGGCUGCGGGGCGGCCGGAGGGAGGGCGGGGGUAACUCAAGGCCUGCUUGAUACGUCCGCCAUUUUGGGCGCUUCGCUGAUGGUGUCGGUGAACCUUUUUCCCGCCUGAGCGCGACUAACUGCGGGUCUUGGGCGCCUCCAGGAACACUUCUGUUUCAUACAAUAUCCUUUCAUACUUCUGCUAAUCUGCUAAUGUAAUUUGGAAGAUAGCUGUCACCAGGAUAACCUGUAAUGGGCAAGGAGCCACAGAGAAGAAAACAUUUCUUUUAGUUUUAACCUUGCUUUCAAAGAACAGCAUGUUUUGGAAAUUUGAUCUUCACUCAUCAUCCCACAUAGACACGCUUCUAGAGAGAGAAGAUGUGACACUGAAGGAGCUAAUGGAUGAGGAGGAUGUUCUACAGGAGUGUAAAGCACAGAACCGCAAGCUCAUAGAAUUUCUGUUAAAAGCAGAAUGUCUGGAAGAUUUAGUCUCAUUCAUUAUAGAAGAACCACCUCAAGAUAUGGAUGAGAAGAUCCGAUACAAGUAUCCAAAUAUAUCUUGUGAGUUGCUCACAUCUGAUGUCUCCCAGAUGAAUGAUAGACUGGGGGAAGAUGAGUCCUUGCUAAUGAAAUUGUAUAGCUUCCUCCUAAAUGAGUCCCCCUUGAACCCACUACUCGCCAGUUUCUUCAGCAAGGUGCUAAGUAUUCUUAUCAGCAGAAAACCAGAACAGAUUGUGGAUUUCUUGAAAAAGAAGCGUGAUUUUGUGGAUCUCAUUAUAAAGCACAUAGGAACUUCUGCUAUCAUGGAUUUAUUGCUCAGGCUCUUGACAUGUAUUGAGCCUCCACAACCCAGGCAAGAUGUUCUGAAUUGGCUAAAUGAGGAGAGGAUUAUCCAGAGGCUUGUGGAAAUAGUUCACCCAUCGCAAGAAGAAGAUCGGCAUUCAAAUGCCUCACAAUCACUUUGUGAAAUUGUUCGCCUGAGCAGAGACCAGAUGUUACAAGUUCAGAACAGUACAGAGCCAGACCCCCUGCUUGCCACUCUAGAAAAGCAAGAAAUUAUUGAGCAGCUUCUGUCAAAUAUUUUUCACAAGGAGAAGAAUGAAUCGGCCAUAGUCAGUGCAAUUCAGAUUUUGCUGACUUUGCUUGAGACUCGACGGCCAACGUUUGAAGGCCAUAUAGAAAUCUGCCCCCCGGGCAUGAGUCAUUCAGCUUGUUCAGUUAACAAGAGUGUUCUUGAAGCCAUCCGAGGAAGACUUGGAUCUUUCCAUGAACUCCUACUCGAGCCACCCAAGAAAAGUGUGAUGAAGACUACAUGGGGUAUAUUGGACCCACCUGUGGGGAAUACUCGAUUAAAUGUCAUUAGGUUGAUAUCCAGCCUGCUCCAAACCAAUACCAGCAGCAUAAAUGGAGACCUGAUGGAACUGAACAGCAUUGGCGUCAUAUUGGAUAUGUUCUUCAAGUACACAUGGAAUAACUUUCUACACACGCAAGUGGAAAUUUGCAUUGCUCUCAUUCUGGCCAGUCCUUUUGAGAAUGCAGAGAAUGGCACAAUUACUGAUCAAGACUCCACUGGUGACAAUUUGUUAUUGAAGCAUCUUUUUCAAAAGUGUCAGUUAAUAGAGCGAAUACUUGAAGCCUGGGACACAAAUGAGAAGAAACAGGCUGAAGGAGGACGACGGCAUGGUUACAUGGGACACCUUACGAGGAUAGCUAACUGUAUUGUGCACAGCACUGACAAGGGUCCGAACAGUGCGUUAGUACAGCAGCUCAUCAAAGAUCUUCCCGAUGAAGUCAGGGAGCGGUGGGAGACGUUCUGCACGAACUCCUUAGGAGAGACGAACAAGAGGAACACGGUAGAUCUAGUUACAACCUGCCAUAUUCAUUCAUCCAGUGAUGAUGAAAUUGACUUUAAAGACACGGGUUUCUCACAGGAUUCCUCUUUACAGCAAGCCUUUUCUGAUUAUCAGAUGCAACAAAUGACGUCCAAUUUUAUUGACCAGUUUGGCUUCAACGAUGAGAAGUUUGCAGACCAAGACGACAUUGGCAAUGUUUCUUUUGAUCGGGUGUCAGAUAUCAACUUUACUCUCAAUACAAAUGAAAGUGGAAAUAUUGCCCUGUUUGAAGCAUGUUGUAAAGAACGGAUACAACAAUUUGAUGAUGGCGGCUCUGAUGAAGAGGAUAUCUGGGAGGAGAAGCACAUUGCAUUUACUCCCGAAUCCCAGAGGAGGUCCAGCUCUGGCAGUACGGACAGUGAAGAAAGUACAGACUCUGAAGAAGAAGAUGGGGCCAAACAAGACCUGUUUGAGUCCAGCAGUGCAAACACAGAGGACAAAAUGGAGGUGGAUCUGAAUGAGCCACCCACCUGGUCAGCCAACUUUGACGUCCCAAUGGAAACCACCCAUGGUGCUCCCUUAGACUCCGUGGGAUCCGAUGUCUGGAGCACAGAGGAGCCAAUGCCAACUAAAGAGACAGGCUGGGCUUCCUUUUCAGAGUUCACAUCCUCCCUGAGCACAAAGGAGUCUUUAAGGAGUAAUUCGCCUGUGGAAAUGGAAACCAGCACUGAAUCCGUGGACCCCUUGACACCUGGUGCAGCUGCCUUGGCCACUCAGCCAGAGGCACCAGGCAGUAUGGCCAUGGAAGCCAGCUCAGAUGGGGAAGAGGAUGCUGAGAGUACAGACAAGGUAACUGAGACCGUGAUGAAUGGCGGCAUGAAGGAAACACUCAGCCUCACUGUAGACGCCAAGACAGAGACUGCAGUCUUCAAAAGGUUCUCUUCACACCUCCACCGACUCUGCGGGGUGCCAUGUGCAGUCGUGGACAUGUUUCCCCAAUUCCUCAUUUCUAGGAGUGUUCUGAAACUCUUGUACGUUUCUUUUUCUGUUUUGCACACUUGGCCUCAGAGUGUUGAAGUCCUACCGUGAGGAAGAAAAACUGUCUACCUCUCAAGAUGCUGCUUGCAAAGAUGCAGAAGAGACCCCAGAGCCAGCAGAGGCCAAGUGCACAGCUCCCCUGACUCCCAGCAGUAGUCCCGAGCAAAGGACCGACCAGCCAAGCAUGCCAAGCGACCCAUCAGUUAAUGGCCCUGUAUGAUGAGUGACGUCCACUGCUGCUGACUGAGGACUGCAGGCCACCACCACCCAGGGGCUCUGGAGGGCUCACCCAGAGCUACUGAGCCACCACUACUGCACUCUGCAAGAGAUCAGAACCAGCAGCCUUUCUGUUUCUAGAUUCUAAGAUGCUGUACAGAGAGACUCAGACAUGUAAAACACUGCACAUUGACAAAUACCAAGAAUUUUUUUGCGUAUGUUUAUAUUGUAUUGAUCUAAAUACUGGGUAGCCUGUGACACCAGAUCUUGCCGCCCAUGUAAUAAUAGUAAUGAUACAUAGUUCAGAUGGUUGUAAGAAUAGUUUUAUAAAGUGACUACACAGAUCUAUUGUAUUCGAAACAUAACUAUUUGACAAUUAUUAGUGUGACCAAAGUAUUAGGCAGUUUUCAUACAUUUUCCACCUUGUACAAAAUUCUGAAUUCAUUUUUCUUCCAGGUUGGCACGGAGCUGUCGAUGGAAAAGCCCUCUGCGUGUUAUAUUUUGGUUGUUCUGACUUACAAAGUGAUUUUGAAUAAGAAAUACUUGGUGUUUUUUUAUAACCCACUUUCAAUUGGUAACUGUUUUCUGUAUUGUUUCAGGCGGAUCAAAUGCUUGAGUCUUGGUGGAGAUUAAGUAUUUAUUGCUACAACUUAGUUGAUGAAUUGCUGUUCUUGUAAAGCCAUAUGUUCUGUUAAGGUCUGGUUUGCUCAGAGCGUUUCUUUCUGCAGGUGAAACACUAGAAUAUUGGAGUGUACAUGGCUGUGGUUAGAAUUUUAGGGGGGUUGGGGGGUGUUUGUUUUUUGUUUUGUUUUGGUAGUUCAUCCGCCUUUUAACCCAUUCACCAAAAUGUCCCUUGUCAGCAAGUAUCACUGAUGGCUAUUUCAGAGUGGUCUGCACCCACACUGCUCUGUGUCACAGAGGUGAGUCUGGAAUGCUCAUGUGGUGACAGGGUAGAGUGUGCCCAUCACGCGGGCUGGCUGUAACAGAAUCACAACCUGGCAUCCAAGCAUGUUUCUUGUUUUACUGUACCUUGUGAGGUUUUCACUUGUAAACCAGUGGAUUUUAGAACUGGUUUGUGUGUAUAUAGUGAUUAUGGAUACUAAUUCAGUGUAAUUUAUAAUUUUCUAUGUCAGCGUAAACACAUCCUAGCCUCCUCCAACAGCUGAAGCAAUGGCCUGUGCACUGCCGCGGCAUCGGGUGAAGAGCUCAGUCACCUCGCCUCUUGCACUUUUAGAUGCAGAUCAGUUUUUCAUUCUAUAAUAGAAAAUAUUCACAUAUUUUUACAUCAUUUGUUUUUUCCUGACCAGUAUUUAAAACCAAAAGGAUAUUCUGAAAAAAUGGCCAACAAGUUUUUUAGAACCAGCAUCCCAAGCAGUGUGCCUACAUGACAUCGCGUAUGGAGAUAGAGUCGAGUGUCCAAUGCCUUACUCCUUACUCGCUUCUCACUGUACACAGUGCAAGGGACCACCUCAGGUGGCCGAGGCAGGCCUGGUCACCAGGCUCAGUGGGCAGCAGGAAGCCCUGGGACUGGUGGCGAGGGGCUCGGUGGCCUGUGCUUGCCCGCUCAGGACCCUUCAGUCACAGCUCCUUCAGAAGAGACUGCGUUCUCUGGAACCUGGUGCCACCAGAGGACAGGGCUCCUUCUGCUCGUCUCAGGGAUGGUUGACCUGCGUGGCCCAGGACCUCACAUUGCUGGCGGAUGGCAUUCUCCUGUCUCACCUGGUUGACAAGCCUUGCUGACCCCAGCCAGGACUUGGCUCCUCCUAGUCAGCCCACACUGCCUCCUUGCUGUGGACUGGGCUGGCUUUUCUGUCCCACUGUCCACUGGGAAAGGAACGCUUGGGUACUGUUCUUGGGAAAGGACUUAGGCUUGCUUGUCAUAAGGAGAGGCUGUGAGGGUGAAAGGGGACAAGGUGUGUUGGGUUGGAGGGUGCCAGCCAGGGCUUGUGAUGAGUUCCUGCUCCUUUUCAUUUCUGUGUAUUGGCCGAAUGAAUUGCAAGACUAACAGACGUCUACAGUACAGUACCUGUAUCACAAGUAAUAACAAAAUAAAGCCUGAUGCUUUGUUUCUAUAAA